This is a non-coding RNA of Xyrichtys novacula (pearly razorfish), 3675 nucleotides long. The record is from the annotation of a GenBank genome assembly. Lineage: Eukaryota; Metazoa; Chordata; Actinopteri; Labriformes; Labridae.
GAAGGACAGCAUCACUCUGUGUGUAUCUAUGCUGCUCCUAUCCCCAGCGCCUUUCUCAUGACAGAUGUUCCAGGAUCAGAUUGAGACAGAUGAAUCAAUGGAUUCACACCAUCAGCCCUCAAACACCCAUGUCUUAUGACUUCACUCCUCCCUGAUUCCAUUUCCAUCGACUAAAUGUGGUCUACAUUUGAAUGUGGGGUCAUGGUUAUUAAUUACUCCUCAGAGUUCAGCUGAAAGCCCAGUGGGAUAAAAAAGAGGAGGGGUGGACUCAGGGGGAGCGACGGCAGAGCACGCAGACAAGAACAAAGGCCUGCCAUGAGGGUUCAAGCCUCCCACUGCUAGAGACUGGAACACUGUACGCUCUGAAGACAGAGGUUAGGACCACCUAGGCAGAUUUCCCUCGGGGGCUAUUAUCACCCAGGAGAUAAAAUGAUUUUCAGACACAGGAGCUUCCACUCACACUCACACAUACACUCACAAACACAUGGAGGUAUAAAGUAUUUUAUCAAGGAUAAAACGCUUAUAAGAGGGUUUCUAUUUCUGUCGUUGACAUGACUGUCAUAUAUCCAAGAACAAUAAUCCUGAUUCAUCUUUUUUCAGAGAACAAGUUAAGACAAAUUUAUUUAUAAACUUUAUCUGAAAAAUAUUAUGACAUGGGUUUUAAGAGUCAAUAGGACCUGCUCCUAGUUGAUGUGUGGGACAGAUAGGAUAAUCUACAGUUAAGUUUUACCAACAUGUUUAUGAUACAUGGAUUUGCUGUAAAUGUCCUAAAACUGUGAGACCUUGUGCUGUUUUAGGUUACCUGUCUGUGUUUCCUUAAAAAGAAAGGAGAGAAUAACAGCCGAUCAGCCAACCACUGCUUACGCUUGAAAGUACCAAUAGGCAUCGAUAACAAUGUCCUGAGGUCCUUCUAUUUGUGUUGUCCUAGCUGUGCAGCUCAAGUGCCAGCAUAUACGCGGUCUUCUUAUUUGUAAUGUCUCUUUUUACGAUGCCUCUCAACUUUUCUCAUAACAUCAAACAGCCCAUAAACUAAAAUACGUUGAAAAUACUGUACAUCUUUACAUAGACAGGAUUUAACCUAUAGCUGAGGUUAAAUCUCUCAAAUAUUCACUUCAUUUCUCUUUCCCCCCUCAAAUAACAACUCACCAAAAACCCAUUUAUGUUGGUUAUAAAAAAGUUGAGGAUAUUAAGACCUGACUUUAGUCUUUUUAUAUAAAGAAAUGAGAAUAUAACAGUUCUGAGUUUAUGUGUAGGAUGCCACAAAUUCUCAUUCAUAGUUAAAGAUCUUCAACUGUUAUGAGCACAAGGGCCUACAUUUCCAAAAUCCAUACUGGCUUUUUGAUAUCUUUUCACUUCACAUCAUAGUGUUCAUUCAAACAAUCAAUCAACACGCUGUGCACCUCUGAAGUGACAACAGUGAUUUACAGUGACUUACAUUUUCACAGCCCAGGUCUUAAAGUUCAAAAAGACUGUCGGGGAAAAUUUUAAGAUGUGGCCUGACGUUUUAAAAGUCAUUAUUCUACUUAAACUUAAGUGAGUACAGAAACUCAAAUGAGGAACUGUAAAGACUGAACCAAUCAUUUUCCAUUAGACAAAAUAUUAACUCUGGUUUUCCCAAACUGAUUGUAAAAAAAUUCAGCGUUAAACUCUUUGCUUCUCCUCUGUCCCAUCUGUUACCAGCUCUCAAUAAAAUCAUUAAAGUGUAGCCUUUAGCACCCUAAAGGCCUGUGUCACACAGCUCAUCUGCUGGGGCUGCAUGACUUAGAAAUGUGUCAGUGUAGCUGUCAGAUUGUUUACUCGUGCUUGAACCUGUCUCAAAGUAAAAACUAGGGGGUGUUUUUUGCCUCUGUCACAUGUCAGUUUAGGUGACAUGUCAAGCGGAGCAGCACAGAAUUAACAGAUUAUCUGAUCAGUCCAUUAGUGAGUCCAAAAGGAGAGGGUCUGGUUUUUAUGCAAAAAUAUCAACAAUUAUUGGUGUUUGAUUCAGCUUCUAUGAAUUUAUGAUAGAAAGGGUGGUUGGUUAUUAAUCAGGACUCUCUGCAAAUUGAUCAGACGUCAAUUAUGAUAUCUUUUUCAGCUUUGGUUAUGAGAGCUCCAUUUCAGACUCAGGAGUAGUCAAGAAAAGUCAGCAGCUUUUCUAAAUGUUAAGUUGUUGUUUGCAGCACUUUUAAUUUAUUUCAAGUCAGUUAAGAUCCAUUGAAAAGUGAAAAUCCUGGACUUGUCAAAAUGCAUCUGUUUAAGGGCAUCUGCGGUCACUAUUAAAAAGAUUCUGGGAAAACUCUUUGAAACCUGAAAGUUUUUUUUCAACCAGAUUUCAGCAGGAAAUCUGUAACCAUCACAAGAUUCAUCGCAAUUUCACACACACUUCUACAGUGAUCAGUCACAGACAGAACAAUGAAAACCCUAAAGGAGUUGAACCUUCAACAAACUUCACCUCAAUCAGCCACCAAGGAAUUCAAAUGUGUGGUUGAUCAACUGAGCUGGCUUCAGAUUUCAGACAGCGGGAGACCACUAUUUAGGGAAAAAAGCGUCUAUGGUCAUAGUUAUCAUUCCUUUUCCCCUUUAAGUUAAAAAAAAAAGAUAAUUGUCAUGAAUUAAAAUGUGUUUCACACACACGUCGAUGUCCAAACUGUAUUUCAGUCUGUUGAAAACCGGUUUUAAUCAGGUUUUCACCUUAACUGGAUUUUAACACAAGUUUUCUAGUUAUUGCUCCCCAGAGAUGGGAAAGGCGAAGAUAAUUUGGCAUAGUCAUUUAAAAUCCACUUCAACUCAAAUAAUAACAAACUUUAGGUGUUAAGUUAUGAAAAAUCUUCUUAAUUGUGUAUAUUGUGUAAAAGAUGUCUCAAACAGAGACGGAUCAGUGACUUUAAAAACCAUGUAUGAGAACAUAAAACUGAACUUUUGUCUCUAUUAUGUUUGAUUGUGUAUGAAACUGUAAUGUGGAGCUGUGAAGCAUUAUUUGUUUCAGAAUUGUUUAAGCCUAUUCCUUUUCUCUUGAUUUUACUUAAAAUAAAAUAAUAAAACCACAUCUAUUGUUGUAUUGUAUAUAUACUAUCUCACCAUCUAUGGAUUUAAAUAAUCCAGUUUAAUUUACACACUGUCAAAAAGACAACUUCUCAGAUGAACCACUUUAUUGGUGACUUAACAGUUUUAAAAAUUGCAUUUCUUUUGUUGACGGUAAAUGAAUGAAUGAAUGAUUUUAUUUCGGUAUAAUAUGACUGAAAGGGUGUAGGCAGAUAAAUCUCAGAUAUUAAGAUUUCCAACAAACCGGGAACACAAAAUUAGAUUUCCGGCCUAAAGUUGAAGAAUUUUUGGGAAAACAGCCCUGAAUAAAAUCCUGAAGUCCCUUCGGGCAUCCUUUAAUAAUUUGAUCCCUAAAUAAGUUGUUCAGUCAUGAAAGUGUAGCCUAUCUCUUUUUGUUUUCUUCUACUUUACUUUAAAACGGUGGGGUCAAAAGCAACAUGACACCGAGUUUUUCUCAUAUAUAUAUUUUUCAAGGUGUUUGUGGGCUCCUGCUACUUAUGUGUCAGAUGAUCAAACGUACAUUAACCUCAGUGUGGUGUUGUUGUAAAAGUAACUUUUCUCUUCACUCCACUCCUCAGGCUCCUGGAGAAAUGCUGAUGCAGGGAAAAAGAGAAUCCCGGUCAGUGAUUGGACUCAUUAUUCUCAUCUAAA